This is a long non-coding RNA of Sinocyclocheilus rhinocerous, 375 nucleotides long. RefSeq lists it as uncharacterized. The record is from RefSeq and is a predicted model, not a curated record. Lineage: Eukaryota; Metazoa; Chordata; Actinopteri; Cypriniformes; Cyprinidae. The transcript is spliced from 3 exons.
AUUGAUGUGUAAACACUCUAUAUUCUAGCUAAUGUAAUCAGCAGUUACACACAGAUCCUAUCAACCACCAGAGGACAAGAGAUGCACUUUAGAGGCAGAUCAGAUGUACUCACCUGGACACCACAAUGCCCAUGGUUUUGGAUGGGAGUCAUUCGGGACCGAAGCUCUCUCUCUCUCUUCUAUGGGCCCAAAGGUCCUUAUUUUAGCGGGUUGCCGGGGUAAUGCGGGACAGUGAAGUGCUCUACAUGAGCAGGGGGUGAGCUGGCCAUGACAGGUCAGAGUGUCACACGCAGACACUUGUGAAUGAAAGUCAAAUAACAAAAUGCAUAUAUAUUUUUAAUAUAAUACAAAUAGUUUAUUUAUCUAAACAAACCA